GACGAACGCUGGCGGCGUGCCUAACACAUGCAAGUCGAACGGGGUGAUUUUCUUCGGAGGAUCACUUAGUGGCGAACGGGUGAGUAACGCGUGAGAAACCUGCCUUUCAGUGGGGGACAACAGUUGGAAACGACUGCUAAUACCGCAUAACACUUUAGUACCGCAUGGUACAGAAGUCAAAGCUUUAUGUGCUGAGAGAUGGUCUCGCGUCUGAUUAGCUAGAUGGCGGGGUAACGGCCCACCAUGGCGACGAUCAGUAGCCGGUCUGAGAGGAUGAACGGCCACAUUGGGACUGAGAUACGGCCCAGACUCCUACGGGAGGCAGCAGUGGGGAAUAUUGGGCAAUGGGGGAAACCCUGACCCAGCAACGCCGCGUGAAGGAAGAAGGCCUUCGGGUUGUAAACUUCUUUUAGCAGGGACGAAUACGUGACGGUACCUGCAGAAAAGCAACGGCUAACUACGUG
RNAcentral lists this ribosomal RNA (464 nucleotides) under uncultured bacterium. RNAcentral's name for it is "bacterial SSU rRNA". It matches the Rfam family "Bacterial small subunit ribosomal RNA", at positions 28 to 507 of the family's 1533-position model. The record is from RNAcentral.